UACGGGGGGGGCAAGCGUUGUUCGGAAUUACUGGGCGUAAAGCGCGCGUAGGCGGCUCGUCAAGUCAGGCGUGAAAUCCUGAGGCUUAACCUCAGAAUUGCGUUUGAUACUGUUGAGCUAGAGUGUGGAAGAGGCUACUAGAAUUCCGUGUGUAGCGGUGAAAUGCGUAGAUAUCAGGAGGAACACCGGUGGUGUAGACGGCUUUCUGGACCGUAACUGACGCUGAGACACGAAAGCGUGGGUAGCAAACAGG
Molecule: ribosomal RNA, 253 nt
Filed under: uncultured prokaryote
Description: partial 16S ribosomal RNA
Rfam family: Bacterial small subunit ribosomal RNA
Source: RNAcentral